This is a non-coding RNA of Podarcis lilfordi (Lilford's wall lizard), 68 nucleotides long. NCBI's taxonomy places the organism in Eukaryota, Metazoa, Chordata, Lepidosauria, Squamata, Lacertidae. The record is from the annotation of a GenBank genome assembly.
GCUGUGGCUCAGUGGUAGAGCAUUUGCCUUGCAUACAAAAUUCACAGGUUCAAUCCCCAACAUCUCCA